This 445-nucleotide unclassified non-coding RNA is filed under the name Hevea brasiliensis (rubber tree). The record is from RNAcentral. Lineage: Eukaryota; Viridiplantae; Streptophyta; Magnoliopsida; Malpighiales; Euphorbiaceae.
GAUGGGAGAGAGAACACAACAUAUACCAUGUCCAUUUUGGGAAAUUCACAUUUUGCAAACCUUCUGGAUCGCACCUGUCAAGUCCCAAGAUUGGGUGUGCGCGUUGACACUGGAGGGCCAUAUGAAUAUCUCCAUUGACUGCAAGCCGAGCAUUUGUCCAACUUCACACUAUUAUUCAAGGUACAGAAUUUGCAGGACCACGUUUUAUACUUGGUGCUCACAUCUUUGGGCCUUUCUGUACUGCAAAGCUUGCAGAUUGGGCCUAAUGAUGGAUUCAAUAAUGUGCAUACUCCACACUCCCACAUGGCAUGUUCCUCUGCAUUAUGUACCUUGUCAUGAUUAAGUUUGGACCCUAAAGAUGAACCAACAUUAUCUGGCCUAGAGCAUCCUGUACUUUGGCCCACAUCUAAAAGGUCUUUUGUGACAUCAUUGCUACUUUCUCCUU